This 440-nucleotide ribosomal RNA is filed under the name uncultured bacterium. Its description in RNAcentral is "partial 16S ribosomal RNA". It matches the Rfam family "Bacterial small subunit ribosomal RNA", at positions 338 to 795 of the family's 1533-position model. The record is from RNAcentral.
CCUACGGGAGGCAGCAGUAGGGAAUAUUGCUCAAUGGGGGAAACCCUGAAGCAGCAACGCCGCGUGGAGGAUGAAGGUUUUCGGAUUGUAAACUCCUUUUGUUAGAGAAGAUAAUGACGGUAUCUAACGAAUAAGCACCGGCUAACUCAGUGCCAGCAGCCGCGGUAAUACGGCGGGUGCAAGCGUUACUCGGAAUCACUGGGCGUAAAGGGAGCGUAGGCGGGAUAGCAAGUCAGAUGUUAAAGCCUAUGGCUUAACCAUAGAACUGCAUUUGAAACUGUUAUUCUAGAGUAUGGGAGAGGUAGGUGGAAUUCUGGGGGUAGGGGUAAAAUCCAUAGAGAUCACGAGGAAUACGCAUUGCGAAGGCGACCUGCUAGAACAUAACUGACGUUGAUGCGCGAAAGCGUGGGGAGCAAACAGGAUUAGAUACCCUAGUAGUC